CUGACUUUAAUGUCAGAAUUCUGACUUUAAUCUCAGAAUUCUGACUUUUUUCUCAGAAUUCUGACUUUAAUCUCAGAAUUCUGACUUUAAUCUCAGAAUUUUGACUUUAAUGCAGGUGAGCACCUGGAAGCAUCUGGGUGCAACCAGCUUCAUCGCCUGAGAUGUGAGUCGUGCAGGGGAACGUCCAGCAAUCUUGGGGAACAUGUCAGAUUUAAGUGACUUUUUACGUGGCCGAGGGCUUCCUGAAGAUGCCAUUUCAUUAUUGGAAGAGCAGAAGAUUGAUUGGGAUGUCAUAGCGCUGAUGGAUGACGCAACUCUGGCAAAUUACAUCCCUUCCUAUGGAGACCGAAUUGCCCUCUUCAA
This is a long non-coding RNA of Girardinichthys multiradiatus, 363 nucleotides long. RefSeq lists it as uncharacterized. The transcript is spliced from 2 exons. Lineage: Eukaryota; Metazoa; Chordata; Actinopteri; Cyprinodontiformes; Goodeidae. The record is from RefSeq and is a predicted model, not a curated record.